Molecule: long non-coding RNA, 206 nt
Filed under: Elaeis guineensis (African oil palm)
Lineage: Eukaryota; Viridiplantae; Streptophyta; Magnoliopsida; Arecales; Arecaceae
Description: long non-coding RNA (EGUI_LNC012013)
Source: RNAcentral
CAGUGGUGUGAAUGAUCCUUUGACCUGCGGUGUCAUUGACUAUUCGCAGUGAGAAUACUGGGUUUGAUUGCACGUUUUCUUGAUCCCUAGCCAUUUAGGUCCUUGUUGUGUAUGUUGGCUUCAGUAGGUUCAGAUUUACGUUUGGAGUAGGAUGUAUCUAGAUGGAAUCUAUCAACCUUGGUAGAAAAUGAGAAGUCCUAUACAAU